This 273-nucleotide ribosomal RNA is filed under the name uncultured bacterium. RNAcentral describes it as "partial 16S ribosomal RNA". It matches the Rfam family "Bacterial small subunit ribosomal RNA", at positions 524 to 796 of the family's 1533-position model. The record is from RNAcentral.
UACAGAGGGUGCGAGCGUUAAUCGGAAUUACUGGGCGUAAAGCGCGCGUAGGCGGCUUUGCAAGUCGGGUGUGAAAUCCCCAGGCUUAACCUGGGAACUGCAUUCGAGACUGCAUUGCUAGAGUAUGGGAGAGGGAAGUGGAAUUUCCGGUGUAGCGGUGAAAUGCGUAGAUAUCGGAAGGAACAUCAGUGGCGAAAGCGACUUCCUGGACCAAUACUGACGCUCAUGUGCGAAAGCGUGGGGAGCAAACAGGAUUAGAAACCCCCGUAGUCC